GAAGCGGAGAGGCGGCGGCGCCUCCUGCCCUCGCAGCGCAGCCCGGCCGGCCCGGCAGCCCCACAGCGCGAGCUGGGCGGUCGCGGCGGCGGGGGCUUUAUCGCCGCCCGCCCCGCACCCGCCCCUUCCUGCCGCCCCCGCCCCCGGCCCGCCCCGCCCCGCCUUCCCGCCGCCUCCUUUGUGUGCCAGCGGGCCGCAGCGUCCCCGCGCCCGCACGCCGGGACGCCCCCACUCCGGCCGCGGCCGCGCGGAGGCCGCCCCCCAGGGCUCCACGUCGCGGGGCUGCGCCCGGAACGCGCCGGAGGCCGCGCCGAGCCCGAGGUGGGCCGGUCGCCGGAGGCAGAUGGCAGACAAGGGAAUCCGGAAAUCUGGAGUCGUGGCUGCGGUGACAGCGCGAGGUACCUGCAGAGUCCUGGGAAUCCGGCCCUUCCCAAUCGCUAACUAAAACUGCUGGGACCUUGUGCGCGACAGAGGCGCAGACCCCAGAGGCCCGGAGACGUAGCACCCUCAGGCUCCCAGCUGCGUUACCUGGCUUGCAGUCCUCCUUUGCGCCAGCUCGGGUUUGUGGGGACACAACUCUAAUGACAUAAGUCCUGUUGCCCUCGGUGCAGAACCCGUGCCAGCAGGCCCACGGCCCCAACUGUGAGAAGGAAAUGUGGCAAAUCUAAGACACGGCCGUGAAAUGAGGUUGCGUCUACUGAUGAGAGCAACUUGGAUGAUCUACACUUGGUGUGUGGGCGGCCAUGCUAGACGGGGUGUGCCUGUCGGGGUGAAGGAGUCACUUUCAAAAGUGUGAAAUCUGGGCCAGCCUAAGGGUAUUCACAGCCUCUCUUAUAGAGAAAUAUGCUAGGGAAGGUUGGCUCUUAAAAAGGAAACACAGUCCACCGAAAGAAAACCUGUUUCAUUAUUUUACAGUCAUGCCUAAUAUUCAUAUUUAAUUACAGGGCAGGAUAUAAAUGCUUUUUCCUUGUCCUCUCUGCCUAAAAUGCUCCCCCUACCCCCAUGAUCUUCUCAUCACUGCCUCCUUAUACUUCAGGGCACCACUCAAGUGUCACCUUCUUUCUCAAGGAAACCUUCCCUGACCGCUUGACUUAAAGUCACUCCCUCUCUUCUCCAAUUUAUUAACUUUCUUCAUAGAACUCAUCAUCAUUUGGGGUUUUUUUUUUAACAUUUUUUUUUUCUUGGCUACUUGUCUUCUACUCUUCCUCAUUAGAAAAUAUGCUUCCAGAAAGCAGGGAAGAGAAACCAGUUCACAUGGUUUUCAACUCACCCCGUCCCUAGUGCCUCGAGCCAACACUACCCAUAUAGUAGUUGCUCAAUAAAUGUUUGUUGACUGGUGGGUGAACAGGGCCAAGUGACUACAGACAUGGUAAGUACUGCCCGGGGAACAGUGUUAGGGCUUAACUCUAGCCUGGGAGGGCCAGCCGGACCUGGGAAGAAUGACAUGAAGCCAGGAAGCUAGAGAAGAAAAACCCGGAGGUGGGAAUGAGCUUGGUGUAUUUGAGAAACUGGGGACCAGCCUCUUCCAGAUGGAAGGGAGUCAUUCAGGAGCCUAGCGAAUGGAGAAGUAAGUUAGAACCAAGAAGCGUGGGUAGAGCCAACUUCUGAAAGCCUGCUUGAUUCCCUACAUCCAUUUCUGUCUCAAUCACUUUUUUAACUGAAAAUUCUUAUGGAGAUAAUUGUAGGUCCUCGUGCAGCUGUUAGAAAUAAUACAGAGAGGUCCCUUGUAUACUUUAUCCCGUUUUCCCCAAUAGGAACCUUUUGCAAAUCUAUCGUCUAGUAUCACAAUCUGAAGGUUCACACUGAUAGGUUGACUUAGAUCUGAAACACUUCGGUUCCAUUUUUGCCAUUGAAAAUGUUUAGUAAAGUUACUCUUCAGUUUUUGAAAGAAUGCACAGAGACUCUUUUGAAGGGUUUCGGUCUCUGGUUUUAGCGGAGCCAACAUUUUUGAGGGAGGGGAAAUGAUUUAUUUUUAAUCAUUAGGGUCCGAAUUCUUCAGCUAUAAAAGACCGAAAUCUUGGGGACUUACCUCUUUUGUUUACAUUUUAAUGACUGCCACUCACUUCCCUGUUCUACCCAGUACCGUCAAAGGAACAUUUUGAGCAAUAGCGUACAUGACUUGUCAGUUCUGAAAUCAGACAGGAUGCGGUGUUAACUAAUCUGCUAAAGUAAGCCCAACCACGAAUGUGCCUUUCUCUUUUCCUUGGACAUUGGAUGGGACUGCCAAUGAGUGUCUCCCAAAGGGAAGCGAUUCAAGACAAAGACCCAUUCUUCCAGUAGGAUAUGUGGGGAAUACCAACUAUGCUUGUUACAGAAUGUGCAUGGCUGGUGUUGGCUGGCCCUCCUCAUGCCAGCAAGAGGAUACAGAAGCAACCUCCUAAGCUGUCCAUGACAUUCAAGCGACGAGGCAAUUUGACAUCCGUCACUCGGGAGCUGCCCCAAAGAAGCCGUGUUCCUUCCUCGGGCAGUUGGUGCCCAUGAACGACCGUUCUUCUCACAUGGGAUCCUCUUUGAAAUGUAUCUCUCACAGAUGUGUGCUCUCAGCGUGCAUUUUCCUCCCGUCUCUUCAUCGGUCUUAUUUGAGAAACCCAAAUUGUUCAAUGCUCCUACCUUCCUCUUCCUUUGUGAUUCACACUCACAGCAGAAUUUCAUUUUGUCCUUCAGUUGUGUGGCUUGCCUUAAUCCUCAGAUAGAGCUUCAAAUUGUUUAUUCCUUAAAAAAAAUUUUCAAAAGUGACCUGGAAUUUAGCCAGCUGCAGCCAGUCUCUGAGUUUGGCUUUGUGUCCAUAAGCUGCAGUUGAGAGAAACGCACGAAAUGCCCAAACAGAAUAAAACAAAUGAUCUAUUUA
Long non-coding RNA from Neofelis nebulosa (Clouded leopard), 2848 nucleotides. RefSeq lists it as uncharacterized. NCBI's taxonomy places the organism in Eukaryota, Metazoa, Chordata, Mammalia, Carnivora, Felidae. The transcript has 2 exons. The record is from RefSeq and is a predicted model, not a curated record.